AUCCUGCAGCUUCAAACCUCUGCUCAAGACAUGCCUGUGUCUUUUUCUUAGCAUCCUACAUCUGGCGCCCAACGUGGGGCAGCCCUCCCAUGGAGCAACUGGGACAGCCCCCCCUUCCGAGGGAGCAACAGCCAACUUACUUACCAGCGUCUGGAAUAGACCCCUAAGUGCACUUUCGUCCUACAGGACCCCUCAGUGGCCCUCUCUGGAUUCCAGCCCAGUGUGUGCAACCAGCCAAAGAUGUCAUGGCAUCAAGUCCAGAACCCAAUACUGAAAAUGAAGCAGGUGACUCUUCAGACAUCACAACAUCCCUUUCGCUCUUGCCAUUGCAGUUGACCAACAACCUGGGGCGAUGUGAAAAAACCUAAUCUCCAAAGCACAGAUGGUUCUGUGGCAACAGGGAAAAGAACUUACACCAGAUAAUUUAUGCACUGCCAUAUUUGUGGUUUUGACUGCAAAUUCCUUAGUCAUUCUUUGCCUCUCUUUCCUUCUUAAUUGCUGUGUGGGGGCUCAAGCUCUUCCACCUCAUCCUUUAGAAUCACAGAUGAAAUAUAAUAUUUGGGUGCAAUUAGCUAAUAUCACAAAAGUGACAAGACCUUUGUAUUUCUGAAUCAUAUGAUAUGGAAAAUCUACUCUCUACCUGUCUUAUACCUUUGUGUGUUCCAGCUUCAAUUUAAAAAAAAAAUUAUGCUGGUUUAAGCAAUUUUUUA
Crotalus tigris (Tiger rattlesnake) is the source of this 710-nucleotide long non-coding RNA. RefSeq lists it as uncharacterized. The record is from RefSeq and is a predicted model, not a curated record. NCBI's taxonomy places the organism in Eukaryota, Metazoa, Chordata, Lepidosauria, Squamata, Viperidae. The transcript has 2 exons.